RNAcentral lists this ribosomal RNA (497 nucleotides) under uncultured bacterium. Its description in RNAcentral is "partial 16S ribosomal RNA". It matches the Rfam family "Bacterial small subunit ribosomal RNA", at positions 28 to 507 of the family's 1533-position model. The record is from RNAcentral.
GAUGAACGCUGGCGGCGUGCCUAAUACAUGCAAGUCGAGCGAACGUACGAGAAGCUUGCUUUUCUGAUGUUAGCGGCGGACGGGUGAGUAACACGUGGAUAACCUACCUAUAAGACUGGGAUAACUUCGGGAAACCGGAGCUAAUACCGGAUAAUAUUUUGAACCGCAUGGUUCAAAAGUGAAAGACGGUCUUGCUGUCACUUAUAGAUGGAUCCGCGCUGCAUUAGCUAGUUGGUAAGGUAACGGCUUACCAAGGCAACGAUGCAUAGCCGACCUGAGAGGGUGAUCGGCCACACUGGAACUGAGACACGGUCCAGACUCCUACGGGAGGCAGCAGUAUGGAAUCUUCCGCAAUGGGCGAAAGCCUGACGGAGCAACGCCGCGUGAGUGAUGAAGGUCUUCGGAUCGUAAAACUCUGUUAUUAGGGAAGAACAUAUGUGUAAGUAACUGUGCACAUCUUGACGGUACCUAAUCAGAAAGCCACGGCUAACUACGUG